Small nuclear RNA from Heterocephalus glaber (naked mole-rat), 104 nucleotides. The record is from Ensembl. Lineage: Eukaryota; Metazoa; Chordata; Mammalia; Rodentia; Bathyergidae.
GUGCUCGCUUGGACAACACUUAUACUACAACUGGAAUGAUACAGAGAUUCGCACAGACCCUGCGCAAGGAUAACAUGCAAAUUCGUGGAACCCAUGAGCUCCUG